AUGUGUGAAAUCAGUUUGGCGUAUUUGAGGAGGGCUUUCGAGAUCAUUGACACGAGGAACUGUUGUGAAGAAGGCUGUGAGAAUGAAAGGGAGCUUCUCGGCGCUCAUAGCUUGAACUUCGAAGAUCUGCGGUGUUCGAUUUCUUUGUGUUGCAGAUAUCUUUGGUUUGCAGCAGGACUAAGAGUAGUGAAACUGAUUUUGGGCAAUGAUUCGUUAUACGGUAGCCAUUUUACAAAAAACAAUGUUGAAUCAUAUAACAGGAAUCUGUAG
Vicia faba (fava bean) is the source of this 270-nucleotide non-coding RNA. Lineage: Eukaryota; Viridiplantae; Streptophyta; Magnoliopsida; Fabales; Fabaceae. The record is from the annotation of a GenBank genome assembly.